RNAcentral lists this ribosomal RNA (434 nucleotides) under uncultured bacterium. RNAcentral's name for it is "partial 16S ribosomal RNA". It matches the Rfam family "Bacterial small subunit ribosomal RNA", at positions 341 to 792 of the family's 1533-position model. The record is from RNAcentral.
ACGGGAGGCAGCAGUGGGGGAUAUUGCACAAUGGGGGAAACCCUGAUGCAGCGACGCCGCGUGAGUGAAGAAGUAUUUCGGUAUGUAAAGCUCUAUCAGCAGGAAAGAUAAUGACGGUACCUGACUAAGGAGCACCGGCUAAAUACGUGCCAGCAGCCGCGGUAAUACGUAUGGUGCAAGCGUUGUCCGGAUUUACUGGGUGUAAAGGGAGCGCAGACGGCAUGGCAAGCCAGAUGUGAAAUGCGGGGGCUCAACUCCUGAACUGCAUUUGGAACUGUCAAGCUAGAGUAUCGGAGAGGUAAGUGGAAUUCCUAGUGUAGCGGUGAAAUGCGUAGAUAUUAGGAGGAACACCAGUGGCGAAGGCGGCUUACUGGACGAUAACUGACGUUGAGGCUCGAAAGCGUGGGGAGCAAACAGGAUUAGAUACCCUGGUA